AGUGUCCAGGGAUGGGAAUCGAACCCACACUGUUCUGCUUACCGGGCAGAUGCCAUGUACAUAUUGCCAUGCCAUGGACAU
Molecule: non-coding RNA, 81 nt
Organism: Cordylochernes scorpioides
Lineage: Eukaryota; Metazoa; Arthropoda; Arachnida; Pseudoscorpiones; Chernetidae
Source: the annotation of a GenBank genome assembly